UACGGAGGAUGCAAGCGUUAUCCGGAUUCAUUGGGUUUAAAGGGUGCGUAGGCGGGCUAUUAAGUCAGUGGUGAAAUCCUGCAGCUUAACUGCAGAACUGCCGUUGAUACUGAUAGUCUUGAGUUUGGUUAAGGUAGGCGGAACGUGUAAUGUAGCGGUGAAAUGCUUAGAUAUUACACAGAACACCAAUUGCGUAGGCAGCUUACUGAGCCGACACUGACGCUGAGGCACGAAAGCGUGGGGAUCAAACAGGAUUA
This 257-nucleotide ribosomal RNA is filed under the name uncultured prokaryote. Its description in RNAcentral is "partial 16S ribosomal RNA". It matches the Rfam family "Bacterial small subunit ribosomal RNA", at positions 524 to 780 of the family's 1533-position model. The record is from RNAcentral.